ACUGAUCUGUUUGAAACAGGACUGAACAUUUACUGAGAGCUGCCUUCAACAGAACAUCAAGAUAAAACAGCUUUGAAAUUCCAGUGAGCAAAUCCAGAUAAAACAACACAAUUUGAAUGAAAAAUACCAACAAAAUAAAUUCAUGCAUGAGAGGAAAAAUGCAGUGGGAUUUAUUUCUGGUUAUUUUGUUCGCUCAGCCCAGUUUGAUGGUCUGUCACCUCUAUGAGUAUCACUACAUUAAUGUGGGAAAGACCUGGACUGAAGCUCAGCAGUACUGCAGAGAGAAACACACUGACCUGGCCACAGUGUCUAACAUGGCAGACAUGAAGAGACUCCUCAGUACCAGAGUGGGAAACAUGAACGAAGCUUGGAUUGGUCUGUAUGAUCAGACAGAUGGUGACACAACAUGGUACUGGUCUCUGCCUGGAGUGGAGUUCAAUGAAAGUGAGACAAACUGGAAUGGAUUUGAAGCAAUUGAUCUUGGAUGGAAAACUGAGAAUUGUGGGGUAAUAACAGAAAACUUCAAAUGGGGAGACAAACCUUGUAACAAUGGACUUUAUUUUAUCUGUUAUAAUGAAAGUAAAACAUCAGAGAAAUUCUACCUCAUAAAAAAAUGGAAGACGUGGCUGAAAGCUCAGAGUUACUGCAGAAAGAAACACACAGAUCUGAUCAGUGGUAUGAAGCAGCUAAAGGAAUUACAACUGGAUGACGUUCUACAUGUAUAUGG
Cyprinodon tularosa is the source of this 727-nucleotide long non-coding RNA. RefSeq lists it as uncharacterized. The record is from RefSeq and is a predicted model, not a curated record. The transcript is spliced from 4 exons. NCBI's taxonomy places the organism in Eukaryota, Metazoa, Chordata, Actinopteri, Cyprinodontiformes, Cyprinodontidae.